This 272-nucleotide ribosomal RNA is filed under the name uncultured prokaryote. RNAcentral describes it as "partial 16S ribosomal RNA". It matches the Rfam family "Bacterial small subunit ribosomal RNA", at positions 524 to 796 of the family's 1533-position model. The record is from RNAcentral.
UACGGAGGGUGCAAGCGUUAUCCGGAAUCACUGGGUUUAAAGGGUGCGCAGGCGGCCUGGUAAGUCAGGGGUGAAAGCUUCCCGCUCAACGGGAGAACUGCCCUUGAUACUGCCAGGCUCGAAUUGGGUUGAGGCCGGCGGAAUGUGGCAUGUAGCGGUGAAAUGCUUAGAUAUGCCAUAGAACACCGAUUGCGAAGGCAGCCGGCCAAGCCUUGAUUGACGCUGAGGCACGAAAGCGUGGGGAGCGAACAGGAUUAGAUACCCGGUAGUCC